GCUACGGGAGGCAGCAGUGGGGAAUAUUGCACAAUGGGGGAAACCCUGAUGCCGCGACGCCGCGUGAGUGAAGCAGUAAUUCGUUACGUAAAGCUCUAUCAGCCGGGAAGAACAUUACGGUACCUGAGUAAGAAGCUCCGGCUAAAUACGUGCCAGCAGCCGCGGUAAUACGUAUGGAGCAAGCGUUAUCCGGAUUUACUGGGCGUAAAGGGAGCGUAGGCGGCCUGCCAAGUCUGAGGGGAAAUACCGGGGCUCAACCCCGGGGCUGCAUUGGAAACUGGCAGGCUGGAAUGCCGGAGAGGCAGGCGGAAUUCCUAGUGUAGCGGUGAAAUGCGUAGAUAUUAGGAGGAACACCAGUGGCGAAGGCGGCCUGCUGGACGGUGACUGACGCUGAGGCUCGAAAGCGUGGGGAGCAAACAGGAUUAGAUACCCUUGUAGUC
Molecule: ribosomal RNA, 440 nt
Filed under: uncultured bacterium
Lineage: Bacteria
Description: partial 16S ribosomal RNA
Rfam family: Bacterial small subunit ribosomal RNA
Source: RNAcentral